GUACGCACUGGCCCAGCUGAUUGAUGGUGCUUGCACCUGAUUGACGAUGGAUCACCAGUGAGUGGCGGACGGGUGAGUAACACGUAGGUAACCUGCCCCCGGAGCGGGGGAUAACAUUUGGAAACAGAUGCUAAUACCGCAUAACAACAAAAGCCACAUGGCUUUUGUUUGAAAGAUGGCUUUGGCUAUCACUCUGGGAUGGACCUGCGGUGCAUUAGCUAGUUGGUAAGGUAACGGCUUACCAAGGCGAUGAUGCAUAGCCGAGUUGAGAGACUGAUCGGCCACAAUGGAACUGAGACACGGUCCAUACUCCUACGGGAGGCAGCAGUAGGGAAUCUUCCACAAUGGGCGCAAGCCUGAUGGAGCAACACCGCGUGAGUGAAGAAGGGUUUCGGCUCGUAAAGCUCUGUUGUUGGAGAAGAACGUGCGUGAGAGUAACUGUUCACGCAGUGACGGUAUCCAACCAGAAAGUCACGGCUAACUACGUGCCAGCAGCCGCGGUAAUACGUAGGUGGCAAGCGUUAUCCGGAUUUAUUGGGCGUAAAGCGAGCGCAGGCGGUUGCUUAGGUCUGAUGUGAAAGCCUUCGGCUUAACCGAAGAAGUGCAUCGGAAACCGGGCGACUUGAGUGCAGAAGAGGACAGUGGAACUCCAUGUGUAGCGGUGGAAUGCGUAGAUAUAUGGAAGAACACCAGUGGCGAAGGCGGCUGUCUGGUCUGCAACUGACGCUGAGGCUCGAAAGCAUGGGUAGCGAACAGGAUUAGAUACCCUGGUAGUCCAUGCCGUAA
Molecule: ribosomal RNA, 786 nt
Filed under: uncultured bacterium
Lineage: Bacteria
Description: bacterial SSU rRNA
Rfam family: Bacterial small subunit ribosomal RNA
Source: RNAcentral